This 108-nucleotide non-coding RNA is filed under the name Escherichia coli. RNAcentral's name for it is "antisense sRNA RprA". It matches the Rfam family "RprA RNA". From Rfam's summary of the family: Translational regulation of the stationary phase sigma factor RpoS is mediated by the formation of a double-stranded RNA stem-loop structure in the upstream region of the rpoS messenger RNA, occluding the translation initiation site. Clones carrying rprA (RpoS regulator RNA A) increased the translation of RpoS. The record is from RNAcentral. Lineage: Bacteria; Pseudomonadati; Pseudomonadota; Gammaproteobacteria; Enterobacterales; Enterobacteriaceae.
ACGGUUAUAAAUCAACAUAUUGAUUUAUAAGCAUGGAAAUCCCCUGAGUGAAACAACGAAUUGCUGUGUGUAGUCUUUGCCCAUCACCCACGAUGGGCUUUUUUUUAA